GAGCUUGCUCUUAUGAAGUUAGCGGCGGACGGGUGAGUAACACGUGGGUAACCUGCCCAUAAGACUGGGAUAACUCCGGGAAACCGGGGCUAAUACCGGAUAACAUUUUGAACCGCAUGGUUCGAAAUUGAAAGGCGGCUUCGGCUGUCACUUAUGGAUGGACCCGCGUCGCAUUAGCUAGUUGGUGAGGUAACGGCUCACCAAGGCAACGAUGCGUAGCCGACCUGAGAGGGUGAUCGGCCACACUGGGACUGAGACACGGCCCAGACUCCUACGGGAGGCAGCAGUAGGGAAUCUUCCGCAAUGGACGAAAGUCUGACGGAGCAACGCCGCGUGAGUGAUGAAGGCUUUCGGGUCGUAAAACUCUGUUGUUAGGGAAGAACAAGUGCUAGUUGAAUAAGCUGGCACCUUGACGGUACCUAACCAGAAAGCCACGGCUAACUACGUGCCAGCAGCCGCGGUAAUACGUAGGUGGCAAGCGUUAUCCGGAAUUAUUGGGCGUAAAGCGCGC
Molecule: ribosomal RNA, 511 nt
Filed under: Microbacterium sp.
Lineage: Bacteria; Bacillati; Actinomycetota; Actinomycetes; Micrococcales; Microbacteriaceae
Also listed under: 1 other name
Description: partial 16S ribosomal RNA
Rfam family: Bacterial small subunit ribosomal RNA
Source: RNAcentral